Non-coding RNA from Pelodiscus sinensis (Chinese soft-shelled turtle), 197 nucleotides. Lineage: Eukaryota; Metazoa; Chordata; Testudines; Trionychidae. The record is from RefSeq and is a predicted model, not a curated record.
GGGAGCCCGCCAGCCCCUGGCAAAGCAGAGGAGCUGAAGGGGAACCCUGGGAAGCUGCCCCCCUCCCGCCGGGGCCGGAGGAGGAAGGGCAGCACCCCCCGGCCCAGCACCCGCCUGGAGACGCCGCGAGCAAGGGGCCCAAGCGCCGAGCCAGGCUCCGUCCCCACUGUAAGUACCACCUGCCUGUCUGUGCCGAG